CACCAGCCCCUCGAGUGGUGGGGAUGAUUAUUUGGCCUAAAGCGUCCGUAGCCGGCCGGGUAAGUUUCCCGUUAAAUCCAGCGUCUCAAGCGUUGGACUGCGGGAAAUACUGCCUGGCUAGAGAGUGGGAGAGGUCAGCGGUAUUCUGGGGGUAGGGGCGAAAUCCUUUGAUCCCCGGAGGACCACCAGUGGCGAAGGCUGCUGACUAGAACACGUCUGACGGUCAGGGACGAAAGCUGGGGUAGCGAACCGGAUUAGAUACCCGGGUAGUCCCAGCCGUAAACGAUGCAUGCUAGGUGUUGGGUUGGCCACGAGCCACCCCAGUGCCGCAGGGAAGCCGUUAAGCAUGCCGCCUGGGAAGUACGAUCGCAAGAUUGAAACUUAAAGGAAUUGGCGGGGAGCACACCAGGCGUGAAGCCUGCGGUUU
This 427-nucleotide ribosomal RNA is filed under the name uncultured archaeon. Its description in RNAcentral is "bacterial SSU rRNA". It matches the Rfam family "Archaeal small subunit ribosomal RNA", at positions 474 to 903 of the family's 1478-position model. The record is from RNAcentral.